This 459-nucleotide unclassified non-coding RNA is filed under the name Hevea brasiliensis (rubber tree). Lineage: Eukaryota; Viridiplantae; Streptophyta; Magnoliopsida; Malpighiales; Euphorbiaceae. The record is from RNAcentral.
UGAUUUAUGAAUUCCUUUCUCAUAAGCCUUCUGGAAUUCACUUUGAACCUGAAGACCCAUGACACCUGUUGCAAACUGGGUCAUCGGAUGAGAUGUAAUAGGAAGAGCAUCAAUGGCCUUGUAUACAUAAUCUGGAACAGUGGCUCGGCUUUGUAACUCCUUUGAUAAUGCAUCAACUUGCUCUUUGCUUGGCACCUUUCCUGUGAGAAGAAGCCACAGAAGACCCUCGGGUAAUGGCUCUCCACCAGGCUUGGCAGCUGGUAGUAAUUUUUGACAUUCGGGAAUUGACAAACCCCUAAAUCGAAUACCCUCGUCAGGGUCAAGUAAAGAUGUUUCCCAUAGUAGCCCUGUCAUUCCCCUCAUUCCACCAAGUACCAUAUCAACAGUGAUGUUGCCCAGUUGAACCUUUCCAUGUUCUGCUUUGAAUUUCUUCAGGCGAUCCUGCUGCUCUGGAAUCAA